UUUCAGUUGACAUUUACCGCAGGGACGCACAGGUUGAGCAGAGCCCAAAUGUUUAUGAACGCCUCGAGCCUGGAAUUAGACGUCGAUCAGUUGAUGAGCGCUAUCCGAGAGGCUGCCCUCAAAAAGUAUCCCGAUCUCGAUACCUACACGAAACACGAAGCAAUUCCGCCUGCGUUACUGCUCCACCUGAAACAGAGAAACGAACGCGAUGAGCGAAAAGACGAACGCUAUCAGGGGCAAAACGGACGCAAUCAGUUAACUCUUUCACCAGAGUUCAUGUUUCACAGCAACGAUACCUACCACGUCAACGAUCUGUUGAAGUAUCACGAUCGCGACUUCGUGAGGAACGCCUAUCGUGCGAUCGUCAAACGCGAACCUGACGAGGCGGGAUUUCUCUACAACCUGAAGCUGCUUCAAAGUGGUGUCUUCAACAAAAUCGACAUCCUUGCAAGCUUGCGGUAUUCGGAGGAGGGCAAGCUGAACGGCGUAAGUGUCAGUGGCUUGAGAUUACCGGCGACUGUCCGCACUCUGGAACGAAUCCCAAUCUUUGGAUACGUGCUUCAACUCUUGCUUGCGUUCGUGCGCCUACCGUUGAUGGUUCGGAGUCAAAGACAGUUUCAGGGAUACAUCGUGGCCCAACAGUUAGCCAUUGCCGAUUACGUUAACGAGAGCCAACGUCGCAACGACGAGAGCCAAUUUUUCAAGGCUAAUGAAGCCGAACAACAUCGCUCCAACCUGACCAAUCAGUUGGGCGCGCUGGAGCUCAUCGUUAAUGAGACGGUGCUGCCCCGCAUCGUGACUGAAGAAGAGAGAUUGAAAAACGCUGAAGCAAAGCUACUACAGUUGGAUGAUCACCUUUCGAGCGUGUCGGAAACGCUGUCUCGAACUCGCCAACAGAUUAGCGGCCUGUUGAGCGAUUUAAAAACCGUGGAUCGAAAUCUUGCGGCGGAGAUGACGACAACCACCGAUCAGCUUCGUGACUGGGAUAACUUCUACGCGGCUUUUGAAGAUGAAUUUCGCGGCAACGCUGAAGAAGUCGAAGAGCGCUUGCGGUACUACUUGCCUUUCCUUGAGGAGUUGAACCCCGACAGCAAGAUCCUCGAUCUCGGCAGCGGUCGUGGCGACUGGCUUAAGCUGCUCAGCAAAGAAGGCUUCAACCCUUGUGGAGUUGAACUCAAUGAAGUGUUGGC
This 1190-nucleotide unclassified non-coding RNA is filed under the name uncultured fungus. Its description in RNAcentral is "sequence contains 18S rRNA gene, ITS1, 5.8S rRNA gene, ITS2, 28S rRNA gene". The record is from RNAcentral. Lineage: Eukaryota; Fungi.